CUUGGUUAUCCUCCCCACAGGUGAUAUGUGGGCAUGAUGGACCCUGAGUUUCACAUUCCCCAGAGUGGCUUCCGUUAAUUUGAUGCUUUCUGCCUCUGAAGAUGGGAGGAUGUCUCAUCUCAGCCUCGUUUCUGCAUCUUGAUUUGCACGACUUGGCUCUCUGAAACAGAAGCCCUCCGCUUUUCUUCCCAGUCUGCUGAGGAGCAAAGGGAAGGCCACGGACUUUUCCAGCAUGCUUUCAAAUUUGUAUGAAUCCUGAAGUCACUGAGUUUAGUGUCUUCCAUCACCAGUUCCACCUCCAAUUCAACAGAGGAAGAUGAUUCCCAGAAAGGAAAAGGACUUCUCCAAGACUUGUCUAUGAUAAUGAAGUCACCUGGUAAAAAUCUAGAUUCUCACAGCCCUUCCAGACCUUCUGCAUCUGAAUGGACAGGAGAGGGGCCUGUCCAACCUCCAACAGACAGGUUGGAGGCUGAUCAAGGACCUUGGGAGCAUCAGGCCACUGAAGAAACAGCAAACAGCAAUGAAUGGCAGGUGAAGCGUGGAAGAUGAAUGAAGGGCCCAACUGUGAUCUGCCUACUUUUCCAGUUAUCAAAGCAAACUGGAUGCAAAGAGGACAGUUGACAACAUAUGAGAGCAGGUUUACAUUUCAAGAGCAGGUCUGACGCCCAGCUGAAGCAUUAUUUUAAAAAAGCAGUUGAGUCCCCCUUGCGUAGAUGCUGUUGUAUAUAUUGUAUAGAUACAUUAUACAAAUGUGG
RNAcentral lists this long non-coding RNA (755 nucleotides) under Bos indicus x Bos taurus (hybrid cattle). Its description in RNAcentral is "lncRNA (ENSBIXG00005004197.1)". Lineage: Eukaryota; Metazoa; Chordata; Mammalia; Artiodactyla; Bovidae. The record is from RNAcentral.